ACAUAUCUAGCCCUUCCUAAUUCCCUCUGUCAUUUCCCAAGUCUCAACCGAACCAGACGAAGCUAGCUAGCAUUUUGCAAAAACCCUGAUUAAGCCCCCCACUCCCACUACCACACUCACGCUCUCCUUUUAAAGUCACGAGACCCACUGUCCCAUUGUUCAUUCAAUUUUUUGUGUGGGGGGAGAUAAAGAGAGAGAGAGAGAGAGAGUGAGUGGCAGAGGAACUGAUAGAGAACUUUCAAAGCUCUUUAUCUUCUACCAUCACUCAACUAGCCUCUAUAUUGCAGUCUCAAACUGAAAGUCUAACAUAUUUUGUAAAAAGCUUUAGUUUUAUCCCCCCAUCUGAAAGAAAGAGUGUUUGCCUCACAUCGUUUUUUUUUCUCCUUUCUCUCUUUCUGUCUGUCUCUCUCUCUGUCGGUACCAUGAGACCGGAAGGAAACCCGUUAGAUCUUAACAAUUUGCCUGAUGAGUUCUCUAGAGAUGGCAAACAAGUCCUCGAAGACCAUACCUCUUCACCCGGUUGCAGGAAAAAGAAAAGCGGCGGGAAGGAUGGAAAAGACGAGUGUGGGAAGGUCUACGAGUGUAGAUUUUGUUCCCUUAAGUUCUGCAAGUCUCAGGCUCUUGGGGGACACAUGAACCGCCACCGCCAAGGCUAGUACCACCUAUACUAUUACCAUUACUAAACACUUUUCUUUUCUUUUUAUUUUCUUCCUCUUUACUUUAUCCUCUUUCUUUCCACUCUUUAAACUAAACCAUUCACUCAACCAAGUCUCUACUGGCCGUUAAUGAUUUCCUCAUCAAAGGUUGUCAUUUCAAUCACAAAAAGUUGAGUUGUUUUGUUGGAUCGCUGAAAUUCGAGAGGGCCCCUUUUGUUUUUUCUUCCUUUUUAAUUCUUUGUUCUUAUUUAUUUAUCACUAUUAUUACUUGUUUUGUGAUUCUAUUCGGCAGAGAGGGAAACGGAGACGCUGAACCAGGCUCGUCAACUGGUCUUUCGCAGUGAUCAUACCCUUGCUGCACAAGGUGCCCCUCACUUAGGAUGCUGCCAACCGAUAGGAACGGGUGGUUAUCACCCACCAGGAGAUCCAUCGGCACCUCUAAGAUUCCCGAGGUACUUCUCAGGUUCAUCAUCAACUCACAUGCCGCCAGCAGCACCGGCACCGGUAGCUCCACAGCCAUACCUGUAUGCGUCACCCACAAGGCCAGUGUCUUUUGGGUCAUCACACUUCCCUCACCAGCAUCCGGUGAAUGAUUACUAUGUGGGUCAUGUGAUGAGUGGGAGUCACGGACACUAUGUGGGAGGAGGAGGAGGGGGAGGAGAGAGCACAAGUAGUUACACAUGCAUCGGUGCACCGGUAGGACAAGGUGGUGGGUUUGGCAGUGGUGGUGGUGGUGGUGGUAAGGACGGGUCACUGCAUAAUAAUCAGGAGGAAGGGUUGAGUUGGGGAAGGGGGUAUCCGGCAGGAGCACAGCAUCGUUUGGAUCCUCCGUCAGCGAUCAAUCGGUUUCAAGAUGGUUUCUAAUGAGAUUCUUUCUGUGAAGGGUAGUGUUUUUGGUUUUUGUUAUGUGGUAUCAUAAAGACACGCAAUCCAGAGAGAGAGACAUUACAAGCUGACACAUGGGGUCACCAAGGUGUAGCUAAGCUAGGAAGAAGAGAGAGAGAAAGAGAAAGAGAGGUGGUUUUGGUUUAUCUACAGUAACCAGGGACAGCUUUUGAGCUCAUCGACACCCUCAGCUACUUUGGCUUGGAGUUGUGGGGUUAAUGCCUUCCAUUUCUUCUCAACAUCGUCUUUUGUAUUGCUACCUAGCUAGCUGGGACAACCAGUUAGAUAUGAACUGAAACUUUCCAAACCCCUUUUUGCAUUUCUCACUCCUUCACUUCCUUUUGCAUGCCAAAUUACAAACACUUCCCUUCUCUAAUCUUUUCCUUCACUAUACUAUACUAAUAU
Molecule: long non-coding RNA, 1946 nt
Organism: Vigna unguiculata (cowpea)
Lineage: Eukaryota; Viridiplantae; Streptophyta; Magnoliopsida; Fabales; Fabaceae
Source: RefSeq, a predicted model, not a curated record